AGGAAUUACGCAUGAAAAAUAUAAUCAAACUGCUUAUAAAAGACAAAUUCGUAGAAGAUUCAGUGUCCAUCAAUUUUAACAUUGACGUGGUGAUAGAGAAAACUUCAGAAUGAGAUUUAUUUUACUGGCUAUGUUGAUUCUUCUGGCUCAGCAUUCUUGCGAGGGAUGUUGCAUCUGUAACUGCAAUAUGGCCUAUGGAUCCUGCAUAAUGCGAUGUAACAAUAUAAUAGAUUUUUGGGAAAAAUACAACUGCAUCAUUGAAUGUCAGAAUAUAUAUGCUGCGUGUCUGAGAAGUUGUGGUAGAGGAAGAUGAAUGGUUUUUUUCUAUGGCAGAAAAUAUUUAUGUGUUGAAUAUUGUAAACACACAAUUAAUAGUUCAUCUUCUAUUCAAUAAAUCUUCUUGUUAAAA
Saccostrea cuccullata (small rock oyster) is the source of this 409-nucleotide long non-coding RNA. RefSeq lists it as uncharacterized. The record is from RefSeq and is a predicted model, not a curated record. NCBI's taxonomy places the organism in Eukaryota, Metazoa, Mollusca, Bivalvia, Ostreida, Ostreidae. The transcript is spliced from 2 exons.